GACGAACGCUGGCGGCGUGCCUAAUACAUGCAAGUCGAACGCAUUUUCUUUCACCGUAGCUUGCUACACCGAAAGAAAAUGAGUGGCGAACGGGUGAGUAACGCGUGGGUAACCUGCCCAUCAGCGGGGGAUAACACUUGGAAACAGGUGCUAAUACCGCAUAAUUCCAUUUACUGCAUGGUAGAUGGAUGAAAGGCGCUUUUGCGUCACUGAUGGAUGGACCCGCGGUGCAUUAGCUAGUUGGUGGGGUAACGGCCUACCAAGGCUGCGAUGCAUAGCCGACCUGAGAGGGUGAUCGGCCACACUGGGACUGAGACACGGCCCAGACUCCUACGGGAGGCAGCAGUAGGGAAUCUUCGGCAAUGGACGCAAGUCUGACCGAGCAACGCCGCGUGAGUGAAGAAGGUUUUCGGAUCGUAAAACUCUGUUGUUAGAAAAGAACAAGGAUGAGAGUGGAAAGUUCAUCCCUUGACGGUAUCUAACCAGAAAGCCACGGUUAACUACGUG
This 507-nucleotide ribosomal RNA is filed under the name uncultured bacterium. Its description in RNAcentral is "partial 16S ribosomal RNA". It matches the Rfam family "Bacterial small subunit ribosomal RNA", at positions 28 to 507 of the family's 1533-position model. The record is from RNAcentral.